GGAGUUCAUGGCGGAGCCAGACCACUCAGCUCUUCGGAAUCCAGGAAGUAGCAAGGAAGCAGAAAAGAGGGGGAGGGGAGCUAAGGGUCCUACACUGUCCAUGGAGGCAUGUCUCCAGAGACCCAAAGACUUCCUGAUAGGCCAGCUCUUAAAGGGACCACCUUGCAGUGACAUCACCUUUGAGGGUUUCCAAGACACUCUCAAAGCUUUUGGGAAGCCGCCAUACUGGAGUCAGGUGUCAUGUUUCUACGGUCUCAGUUUGACCUUCCUUGUCUGUGCCUCACAGUCCCCUCUGUCCCCCAUAUUACAUUGCUGUCACAUGGCACUGCUGUUGCUCUUGCUUGCUUGCCAGCGUGUGUUUUUUUACUUCUUUCCAGUGAGCACAUGACAGACACAGCAGGAGCUCAAUAGAGACUUGAACGCAAUGCUUGAAUAAGCAGAAUCCUAAAGGGAAAUCGCUAGAUGCUACAGUGAGCUGAAUAUCAAAGAUGUCCUCAUCUUAAUCUAGGUUAUAGGGGAAAUAAAAUUAGAACUGCGACUACGCUGAAGACAGGAGAUGAUAACGAAUAGCCCAGAUGGUCCCUGUGGGAUCACAUGGAGGUUUAGAAGACGGAAGGAGGAGGCCGAAUGGUGUCAGAGCGGUGGAACCGGAGAGGAACCUGGCAAGCUUUAGGAACAGGAGGCAGACUCUGGAAGCUGUGCUUGCUCUUAAACCUCUCUGCCCGUUCUCCAGCUCCUUGGAAAGCCAGAGUUCAAGAUUUGUUCUGACUCAGCUCUGUCUUCCCCCAAGACCUGAUACAGCUCUCACAUAUAGAUGUGCAGAGAGGGAGCAGCAGAUGCUGGCUUUGAAGCCUAGUUGAGGCAAGAGGAUCGCCAUGAGUUCAAGGCCAACCUCAGCUAUAGCAAAACCUCUGUCUCCAGAAACAACACAACCACCCUGGAUUGCUUUUCUAUUGCUGGUGUUACAAAUUCCCUCAGAUAGUGGCCUGAGACAAGUAUCUUACUUUACAGCUAAAUUUACUGAUAUCGUCUUGAAGUUGGGAGGCUCAGAAGCCUAAAAUGGGUCCCUCUAAACUAAAUCCAAAGACUUCCUUUCAGAAAACUCUAAGGAAGAGUUCACUUCGUCGUUCCUCCCUUUUCCAGCUUCUAGAGAAGGCACGGUGGGAACACUGAGGCUUCAACAGUCCUGUGCCUCUAGACCAGGAAGUGUCUGUCUAUCUGUCCUUAUUCAGUUCCACCCAACUCCUGCUGUGUUUGGAAGUCUUCUCACACACUUCCAGCUCCAUCCCUGAUUCCUGAGGAUCAACACCAUCAUUCAACUCUGCUCUGGCAAGAGAGGAGAGACAGUGUCUGCUGGCCUGGGAUGUGACUCAAGGGAGCAACCCUUGCCUAGCAUGUCUGAGGAGGCAUGCCAUCCACCCACCUCUCACAAGGAGUCAGAGGACCUCCAAAGAAAGACUGUAUUUACAAGGUCCAGACAGGAAGGACAACACCCAGCCUCCCUGACCCCCCCCUCCCUGUCACCAGAGCCACACCUGUGGGCAGUGUAUUUGUCUUGGUCCUUAGUUUUCUCUGACUCAUGAGUCUAACUGAGCUUUCUCUGUCUUUUAACCCAUCUUUUCCGCAGCUAUAGCUUUAGAGGUGACCUGCAAAUCCAGCUAGGUCCUGUCCGUAAUCCCAACCCCGGAGCAUGUGAACAGACUAAAACCCCUGAUGAAGUAACACUGGAUGUGAACGCCUCGUUCUCCAAAGGUUUCUUUCUAAAAUCUGGGAAAUUCUCUCUCCGUCCCUUCUCCUUCUCUCAGUCUCUCUCUGUGUGUCUGACUCUGUCUCUCUGUGUGCCUCUGUCCUUACUUCUCUGUCUCCCCACCCUCGCCUGCUCAGCUUGUUUGAGGGAAAGAAACCACACAAUGGAGGCUUUCCACACUCUACUCGAAAGAGGCCAGAGGUAGAAGCAGAUUCUUGCUGCAGCUCUGGUGCCAACAGCUGGCUUGGCAGAAAUGUUCACAGCCAGGUUUUCAGGUUCCAGUAACCACUAUGAAAAGGCUCUUGCAAACAUCUCCUUCUGAGGCCUCCAGCCAAAAAGAGUGGGGACCUUUGAUCCUGUCCGGAGCCAAAAGGACAGGAGGAUGGAAAGGAGACAGGCCAGGGUGCUGGCUAGGACUUCAGCCGGCUGUGUUUGUCCAGAGUCUCUGCACUGAGCAACUUGCCAGGCCGUCCUGGGCCAGUGCCAUGGUGAGCUGGGUUUCAGAGCAGUUGCCUGCACAUUGGACCACACUGUUGUCAGGGAAGGGUUGGGCUGCUCGAAGAAGCCCAGUGAGAGGCUGGCACCCUCUUCAGGAGCCCCUGCUCUUCUCAUAAGAACGUCUUACCUUGACUUUUGGAUGGAAGCUUCCCCAGAUGGAUGGGAGUUUGUUUUCCUCUCUCCAAACUCCUCUAUUCAUAAACACGAUGUUUGAGGGAAAUCAAGACACCAAGAGGUCUGCUGUGGUGGCCACAGAGUCUCACUCAGAGAGCAGUAGAUGAUGGGUAGCUUUGUCCAAACUGCUUCCCUCACAGGCUCUGGAUAGAACCCAGUCGCACUUCUCCCUUUCCCAUCCCCCAACUCUCUCCUCUCCUCCCUUGGCCUCAGAGUUCACACUGGUGCAGGUAAGUGGACAAGAGGCCUUCGCUGUUUAGGGAUGUUUCUCAUACAGGGCAUUCAGGACCCCUCCCUGUUCACAGAGGGCUGAAGGGAGGCCUGUUUUCUUCACUAAAUUGUCUCAAGAUGAGGGCCCACACUUGUGGCUCGCUGGAGACGAUGCCCUGGAUGCAAACCCACCCACCACACACACACACACACAUUGCUCCAUCCUGACAGAUGCAGAUGUGGAGUCCGUCUGAUCUGAUUAUCCCACUGACCUGUGUUCAGCAACACCUGCUCCUCAGGAGUGGAGCUAAUCCUGUGUACGCAGGCCCUCCCUGACAUCUGGGGAUGGACAGAAGCCAAGAAAACCACGGGCACACUGAUAGAGCCAUCGAAGCUCUCUGUCAGGGGAAGAGUGGUGACCAGCAAGGACAACAGCCUCUUCCCUGGCUCUUUCACAGCUGACCCUGUCCCAACAGCCAAGCUUGGCUGCAGACAUUUGUACCAUGAACAGGUCCCAGCCACUGCCAGAGCUUCCUCAAGGUGUCUCAGGACUGAAGGAUCCUACUGCAAUGCUAACUGGUACAGGCAUUCUGCUGUUUCCAGACACACAGACUCUCCCUGGCACCAUUGGGUCCCACAUGGCUCCACCUGUAGUCACCCACACUUCUGUUCUCCAUCCCACGCCAGCUUGAUACUGGUCAGCGUGGUCUUGAAGCCACUGUUUCUUUGUCCCUCUCUGCUAACUUCUUCUGUUGCCUAUGCCAUACCAGACAGCUCAGGAGCAAAGUGACCUUCUUCAGGCUAGACCUGCCAGUCCCCCAUCCUCAGAGCAAUAGCCUAGCGAAUGGCCAGAAUACCACCCUCUUCUCUGGCCCUGAGGGAGUCUCUGCCCCUGACUGUGCGAGAGAGAUGAGAUUAGGAAGGCAGAGCUAAGAAGAGAGGCGCACAUGGAUCAACAGCUUCUGUAUCCCCAACUCAGGACCAGCUGCCUGGGACAAGCAGCAGGCAGGGACAUGUGACUAGUGUUUACACUAGCGAGGGACACAGGAUCAGUGCCUGUACCGCCCUGCACCAGCCUGCUGCAUCUGCCCUGUGCUGCACAGCCUGACACCUUCCCUGAGUUUGCACCAGCCAGGGACACCUGGUCUAUACCUAUGCCAAUCUGAGACAUUUGUCCUGUGCCUGCAUCAGCUUGUGACACUUGCUCUAUUUCUGUGCCAGCCUAUGACUCUAACCUGCACCUACCCAAGCCUGUGACACCUGCUAUGUGCCUAUACCAGCUUGUGCCCUGAACCUUGCCAGCCUGUAAUACCUGACCUAUAACUGCAAUAGCCUGUGACAGCUGCUCCAUACCUCUUUUAGACUGAGAUACCUGCUCUGUCCCCCUGCCACAGCCUGCGGCACUAUCCUGCACCAGCCCCAUCCUGACAUCUGCUCUGUACCUGUGGCAGUCUGUGAUACCAGCCCUGUGUCUGCAACACCAUGGAACAGUUACCAACAGCUUCGACAUCUUCUGCUGUAUGAAUGCCAGCAGUGACACUUCCUGGGCUCCUGUCCCAGCCUGUGAUGCCUGCCGUGUGCCUAUCAUAGCCCGUGACACUUUCAGUUCACCUGCACUCUCCAGGAAUUCCUGCCCUGUGCUUGGUCCAUACCAUAGCACCUGUCCUGUGUGUGUCCCAGCCUGUGACACUGACAGUGUACCUUUGUCUGGAUGUGACAUCUGCAACAGCCAGUGUUACCAAUGCACAGCCAGAUGAUGCUGGUUAUUUCGAGAAGUUUCCCAGAAUGGAGCUUGAUGCAUAUCACGAUCUUCCAAGGCAAGCUGGGGACGAGGCUUCUGAGUUUCCACUGUUCUUCCCAGCAGACACCCUGACAUGUGCCCAAGCCUCCCCUCCGUGAAGCAUGCUGACGUCACAAACACUCACCUGCCACUCACCCUCUCCCUGUCUGGGCAGCCGUGUGUCUAGUUGCUGUUUCCGCUGUAGGAACUACCUCCUGCACACACCAAAUCCAAGUUCUGUGGGGCUCACUGGCUAUUGGUGGCCCCGUUUUUCCUAUGUGCUGUAUGGUCUAUAUUUGUUGGGUACUAUUCUCUAACACAACCCUCUAGGGAGCUGAGCAGUCCAUCCUCAUCUCCAGACACCAUUCGGUUGUGUGGAUUUUCUCUGGAUGGGAGAGACAAAGGCAGGGUGUUGACAAGUCCUCCCUGUAGCACCACAGGAAGGUCAGACUUAAAUUGCAGGGUUCCCCAGUACACACCCAGAGAAGAAAGAGAAGCAAAGAGUAGAGUUAGCCCGCCCUGUUGUAUGUACAAACUCGUCAUCUGUAGCUACAAUGCCUCACAGCGAUCAAAGGCCAGCUCUGCACUCAGCUGGAAAUCAUGGCUACAUACGGCCCCCACUUCCCUCUGCCAAGUGCCUGCCUUUGAACUUCUCCACCCUUGAGUCCACAAACCCUUCAGGGCCAUUCUUCCUUAUUGUUCCCUUGGUCUUCAAAAGGUGGUGGGGGGGGGGGAAUAGAUCAGAACCACACAGAAACCUCAGCCCAUUUACCUCGCCCUUCUGAGCGGUACCCUUCCCCAUCACUGUCUGUUGGGCUUUACUGCAGAACUGAGGAGUCCUCGCUUCCCAUAUACAUAGCACGGGACCUUGAGCAACUUUCAUAACCUCUUCAAGUCUGAUUUCUAUGUCCCUGAAAUGGGUUUAGAAGUAAUGUGGCUGGAAUUGAGGGCUCUGUUCCUUGAGUGUUCUAUGCUAGAUACAAGGAAGUUAUAUGAUGGGUCUCAGUCAGCUUGGU
Molecule: long non-coding RNA, 5425 nt
Organism: Mus musculus (house mouse)
Lineage: Eukaryota; Metazoa; Chordata; Mammalia; Rodentia; Muridae
Product: predicted gene, 20190
Exons: 3
Source: RefSeq, a predicted model, not a curated record